Erpetoichthys calabaricus (reedfish) is the source of this 240-nucleotide long non-coding RNA. RefSeq lists it as uncharacterized. The record is from RefSeq and is a predicted model, not a curated record. The transcript is spliced from 3 exons. Lineage: Eukaryota; Metazoa; Chordata; Cladistia; Polypteriformes; Polypteridae.
AAACAGGAUCUGCGUGUGUAGAUUUGUAUUUGUUUUGGGAGGAGGUUUAUAGAUUGAAAAGAGUGUUUUAUUUAAAUUCAACAUUUUCACUUGAACAGAAGGAAAAUCACUUACAUUGUACUUUUCUUUAAGGUAUGGAGGUAUGGGAGAUAACUGCAAUAUUUUUCAUUACGCUUUCUGUGAUCUUGUCAAUUAUUUUGGCCAAAUGUUGUUAUGUACACUUUAGAAAGAAUAACGGAG